CACUGGUUUGAUUUCUGGGGUGCAGCUAAAGAUGGUGUGCCCCUAGUUGAUAUGCUUAUCACUUUGAAUUUCUUUCGAUGUAAUUGGUGUAUAUAUUGCUCUUGCAUUGUAUUGCAAAGACUUGUCCCACGAAUUCUCUUCUGUUAGCAGGGACCUCAAUUUCAUAGAUCAUACCAGUGAUCUUGGGUGGAAAGAAUCUCAAAGGUCCCUGCCUAUUGUUGUUGACCCUGGAAUUUUCCUAGCAAGAAGGAGCCAGAUUUUUCAUGCUACAAACAAGCCGCCAACACCUGAUGCUUUCAAAGUAUUCACUGGCAAAGUCUAGUCUCAGUAGUAUACUGUUUUGACAGAGUUAUUAGUAGAAGCUGAAGCUCUGGGUAUUCGUUAACUUGUGGAAUGCCAUGUGCAAUAAUAGUUCUUUCUUCUACUGCGGGUUCCCCAUGGUUUAUCUUUAGCCGAUUUUUCCUCUGAAUUUUGCAUUCUUGGUUGGAAUAACCUUCCUCAGACCCUUCUCAUGUAUUUGAAAAAUGUGAUGUUGUCUGAAGAGGGCUAUGUCCAGUCUCUCAUUUGCAAUGCACCAGAGUAUAAGAACACUACUGUAAAUAGUGAUCUAAGAUGUGUGGUCUGGGACAAUCGUCCAAAGAUGGAACCGCACUCCUUGAAUGUUUCUGAUUAUGAUCAAAUGGUGGAGUUGCUUUUGCAAGACAGUUCAAGAGGAAUGAUCCUAUACUUGACAUGGUUAAAGAGUCCAUUUUAAAUGCAAAGCAAAUGAAGGCCUAUUGACUUCAGGAGAAAUCUGUGAUUGCGUACUGAAAUGGAGAGGUUGACGAGAGAGCUGCUGGGAUAUAGCACCAUUGGUAAAUGAAAUAGUUGUGGGAAUGGCCUGGUCAAGGUUGUUUAGAUCUGAGUCCAUUCCAUUCUUUGAAAAUUAAAAUAAUUACUUGUGAGUUGUGAUAUAGCACCCCGUAGACAAUUUAUUUGUGAUAUUUUUCAAAUACGAAGUUCUUAUUGUGAUAGUGUGGUGUUAAGAAAACCUUUCUUUAUUACAAGAUUGAUCAGAAACAAACAUUUCUUUACAAAAGCCUACAUUCACAUUCUUCCAAGAUGAAUGGUUAUUGACAGGACUACAACUA
This is a long non-coding RNA of Jatropha curcas, 1130 nucleotides long. RefSeq lists it as uncharacterized. NCBI's taxonomy places the organism in Eukaryota, Viridiplantae, Streptophyta, Magnoliopsida, Malpighiales, Euphorbiaceae. The record is from RefSeq and is a predicted model, not a curated record.